RNAcentral lists this long non-coding RNA (3420 nucleotides) under Panax ginseng (ginseng). RNAcentral's name for it is "long non-coding RNA (PGIN_LNC004715)". The record is from RNAcentral. Lineage: Eukaryota; Viridiplantae; Streptophyta; Magnoliopsida; Apiales; Araliaceae.
CCUGAGUAGAUAUAAGUAUAUAUAUACAAUUCAUUAUUUCAAACAUAUUCCUAAUUCAGAACAAAUGAUCUUCAUCUAUUGAAUUAUUCAAAGAUUUACUUCUUUGUGGUUUACACAUGUAAAAUACCAUCAUCAGGGUUUAAUACAUUCUGCAUUAAACAACUAUUCUUCUUUUCAAGCGCUUCUAAUCACGAGAGAUCGCAUCAUAGCUUUAACCUGCAAAUUAAGCAAGAUUGAGCACAACGGCCCAGCAAGUCUAACAGCCUAUCAUGCAUCACGUAGCACAUAAGUUUCACAUUCAGUUCAUGCAUUUAUAUUCUUGGAGUUCAAGCAUAUUACAAUUGUAUCAUCAAACUUAAAUUCUACUAGUAGUAACAUACGCACCAUAGCAUACGACACAUGAACUGCAUCUGUCAUUCAUUACACAUAUAUAUUGAGUUCCCUGACUCAAUUCAACAAUUAGUAAUAAUUUGACCUUCAUCAUUCACAAAGCAAUUAAUGCAAUUCAUAGGCAUCACAUAUCUAUAAACAUAAGUCAUGUUAACAUUUAUUUAUAGCAUUUAUAAGUCCACAUAAAUAAACUGAGAAACUUGCCUUAAUUGGAGAUUACCGUUAAACUUAACUUAGCUUCUUUCCAAAAUUCCUACACAAUCGUGUUUACAUAUACACACAUAUUAGGUAAUCAUUUAUGUAACAAAAACAUGCAUGCAUAUAUAUUAACCAUGAUUAUUAGUAUAUAUAAACUAUAAUAUUUUAUUCUCAUCUUAAAACCAAUCUUGGUUUAUUUAGAAAUUUUAAUUCAUUUUAACCUUUUUAUGCACAAUAAAGGUCUCUCACAUUUUUAAUACGUAAAUAUUUUACAUCUUGAAGCUUGAACCAUCCAUAUUCCAUUUUAGAAAUAUCAUUUGCCAUUACUCGCAAAGUCGAGAUUUAAAUGAUUAAUAUAUAACUUUUAUAUUAAAACACGACUUACUAUAUUAUUUCUUUUAUUUAUAUAAUUUUUUAUGCCUUUUUGACAAUUCAUGACUUAAAUCAUCAUAUCCCCUCUUACGCGAAUGUUUUAUUUCAUAAGCAACUUGGCUUCACAUUUUAUCUCGCGAAUAAUUCGCAUUCUCGCUUCGCAUAUAUAUAACUAUAUAUAUGCAUCGUUAUAUAAAUAUUUGUUCAAAAUGUUCGUUUCGAACUCCAGAAACCUUCAUUUCAUUACUUUCAUAACCAUUAAUAUUUUUAAUGGUUUCAUGAUUUUCGUUUCGCUAUAAAAUCAUUUUAUGUGUCAUUUCUGGCUUACAUUCGCAUAUCUAUGUAAAUUUAAAAUUACCUUACAUUUUUUUUCCAUUCUUUAUGCCCGAAAUAAAUUUUCAUGGCAUAAAGUACCAUAUAACCUCAAUACUUCGAUUUUGGGUCUUUAUUAGGCUUUAUGUUUCUUAAAAUUUAGCCCAAAUACGAUCCGAAAUGUCGAACGUCAAAACAGCUCAUGUCGGAUAUGUUCGGCAUCGCUUGUUUUUAAAUUCUGACAUGCUCCUUCGCUCAUUUUUAAUUCUUAAACCAUUAAUCAAAUCGCGGCGAAUUUAUGGUAUGUUAUAGACCUCAUGUCAUAGUAUUUUUUUAAAUUUCUAUCCGCGAAAACGAACCACGAAAACUACCCGUAAUGGAGCUCAAAAAUCACUCCAGCAGCAGCCUGCAGAGCAGGUGCCAGCGGCGCUGGGCACUGCCUGCCCUGCUGCUGCCUUGGCCUGUUGCAGCGCUUAACGAGUUGCCUACUUUGCGAUUUUCUCAUACAUUGCUCGUUUAUCGGAUCGAUUCUAAAUUUCAUUAUGUUUUUCCUAUCAUAUGAGACUAUUUUUAAAAAUAUCAAACUCCCAUUUCAGAUUUGUUACGCAGCCCAAACAGAGCGCCAAAAGUGUACGUUCAUAACAGUUUUUACUUUUGUUUCAGCUUUACCCUCUCUCGCUAAAACAGUCAUAACUUUUUCGUUUCAAAACAUUUUUGAGCGAUUCUUGAGCCCACACGAAGCUAACUUCCGGGGCUACAACUCUUACUUACUGACCUUUUCCAAAUUCCGAACACAUCAGUCCAGAAUUUCGCACAAAGGGGACUAGUCGGAAUUGGUUGGACAAUUUUGACACGACUACUUUGAAUGGUCAUAACUCUUUACUCCGAAGUCGGAAUUAGUCCGUUCUGGAGUCUAUGGAAAGCUUAUUCAGUGUAAUAUAAUACCCCAAAAGCCCAGAAUUUUUUGGAAACAUAUACUAUCCUUGAAUUUAUGUUUUAGGGUCAGCAGUCACACAAUCUUUCGGACUUUUCGUUUUGUCUCAAAAAUUGUUUUUCGUUCUAAUUUUAUUAUCCUUUAAUUAUCUACAUAUAGUGUAUAUAUAUGUAACCAUGGCCUCGGCUUUACUUAAUUAUUCGUUUUUAACCAAAACAGUCCACAGAGGACUUUCAGCGAACAUCUUAUGUGCGCUGUUUUGACAUGCGAAUUUUAUAGCCAUUCCUUUGUGUUCUAAACCCAUUUUAGCCUCCUUAUAACUCCGCACAACCAACCUAUCUCCUUUGUUCUAAUUUAGUCCCAUAGGAGUCAAAUACAUAAUUAAAAUUAAGCAAAAUCAAGUAAUUAGUAAACUAGUUACUAACUUUAAAAACUUUAACUAUUUGAUUCUAAUACACUCAAUAUGCAAUAAUAUAAUCUCAAUUCUCGUUGCUAUAUAACAUACAUAUAACAAUAUUAAUCCAGCCAAACUCAUUAGCCCAAUUGUAAAUUCUCAGUCUUACCCAUUUGUUUUGCUAAUUGAAUUUUAUAUUCAAACUAUUUAACCAUACAUACUAACUAAUUUCAUAAACAUAAUUAAAUUACCUUUGCUUGCUUAUAAUCUUUUGGAUAUCCUGAGAUUCCCUUGUAUACUAAUUUCUUGCUUCAAUUGAGUGGAAGGGUCAUAGAUGACUGGGCUGUUUCGGGUGGACAGGGGAGAAGGCAGGAGGAGAUCCAGGUUGAGGGAAAAAGAGAAGAACAUGAUAGUUUGAUCUCAUCCUAUAAAUUCCCAAGUCUUGAUCCCCAGGAAAAUUUUCUUUUCCUUCAUUCACAAAUAUUUUCCUUGGCCAAGGUAUAAAUUGCUUGCUCCAUAUGAAUUUACGGUGCUGAGUAAUAUACAUAGACUUGCCAGCUCAAGCUAACUCUCCUAAUGUCCCUGACUAGCUUCUACUGCUCAUGCUCCUGACUUUAAUAUUUUUCCCCCAAAUCAGUUUAUGGCUUUACUUUCUUAAUCAAUUUGAUGGCUUCUUAUACCGAAUUUGGAAAAAACUUAGUGCUUAUAACUUUGGGGAUAUGAAACUUGGCAAUUUGUUAGAGAGAGAGAGAUGAUGGAACGGGUGGAGAGGAGAUGAAAAUGAGAGAAUGAAAUUAUUUCAGUUUUUCUUAGAUCUCCU